GUAGUAUACUAUCAGGUACAGUAGUAUAAUAUCAGGUACAGUAGUAUAAUGUCAGGUACAGUACUAUAAUAUCAGGUACAGUAGUAUAAUAUCAGUAUCUACUGUUAUACUAUCAGGUACAGUAGUAUAAUAUCAGUAUCUAAUGGUAUAAUAUCAGGAACAGUAGUAUACUAUCAGGUACAGUAGUAUAAUAUCAGGUACAGUAGUAUAAUGUCAGGUACAGUACUAUAAUAUCAGGUACAGUAGUAUAAUAUCAGUAUCUACUGUUAUACUAUCAGGUACAGUAGUAUAAUAUCAGGUACAGUAGUAUAAUAUCAGGUACAGUAGUAUAAUAUCAGUAUCUACUGUUAUACUAUCAGGUACAGUAGUAUAAUACCAGGUACAGUAGUAUAAUAUCAGGUACAGUAGUAUAAUAUCAGGUACAGUAGUAUAAUAUCAGGAACAGUAGUAUAAUAUCAGGAACAGUAGUAUACUAUCAGGAACAGUAGUAUAAUAUCAGGUACAGUACUAUAAUAUCAGGUACAGUAGUAUAAUAUCAGUAUCUACUGUUAUACUAUCAGGUACAGUAGUAUAAUAUCAGGUACAGUAGUAUAAUAUCAGGAACAGUAGUAUAAUAUCAGUAUCUACUGUUAUACUAUCAGGUACAGUAGUAUAAUAUCAGGUACAGUAGUAUAAUAUCAGGAACAGUAGUAUAAUAUCAGGAACAGUAGUAUAAUAUCAGGAACAGUAGUAUAAUAUCAGGUACAGUAGUAUAAUAUCAGGUACAGUAGUAUAAUAUCAGUAUCUACUGUUAUACUAUCAGGUAAAGUAGUAUAAUAUCAGGUACAGUAGUAUAAUACCAGGUACAGUAGUAUAAUAUCAGGUACAGUAGUAUAAUAUCAGGUACAGUAGUAUACUAUCAGGUACAGUAGUAUAAUAUCAGGUACAGUAGUAUAAUAUCAGGUACAGUAGUAUACUAUCAGGUACAGUAGUAUAAUAUCAGGUACAGUAGUAUUAUAUCAGGUACAGUAGUAUAAUAUCAGGUACAGUAGUAUUAUAUCAGGUACAGUAGUAUAAUAUCAGGUACAGUAGUAUAAUAUCAGGUACAGUAGUAUAAUAUCAGGUACAGUAGUAUUAUAUCAGGUACAGUAGUAUAAUAUCAGGUACAGUAGUAUAAUAUCAGGUACAGUAGUAUUAUAUCAGGUACAGUAGCAUUAUAUCAGGUACAGUAGUAUAAUAUCAGGUACAGUAGUAUACUAUCAGGUACAGUAGUAUUAUAUCAGGUACAGUAGCAUUA
Long non-coding RNA from Oncorhynchus keta (chum salmon), 1276 nucleotides. RefSeq lists it as uncharacterized. The record is from RefSeq and is a predicted model, not a curated record. The transcript has 6 exons. NCBI's taxonomy places the organism in Eukaryota, Metazoa, Chordata, Actinopteri, Salmoniformes, Salmonidae.